GAACCGGACGAACGUUAUUCGGAAUCACUGGGCUUAAAGAGUCCGUAGGCGGCUUGGUAGGUGAGGUGUGAAAUCCCACGGCUCAACCGUGGAAUUGCGCUUCAAACCACCAGGCUUGAGGGAGAUAGAGGAAAGCGGAACAGAUGGUGGAGCGGUGAAAUGCGUUGAUAUCAUCUGGAACACCGGUGGCGAAGGCGGCUUUCUGGGUCUCUUCUGACGCUGAGGGACGAAAGCUAGGGUAGCGAACGGGGAUUAGAUACCCCGGUAGUCCUAGCUGUAAACGAUGAGCACUGGGUUGAAGGUACUUCCCACAUCCUUUCAGCCGUAGCGAAAGCGUUAAGUGCUCCGCCUGGGGAGUAUGGUCGCAAGGCUG
This 373-nucleotide ribosomal RNA is filed under the name uncultured organism. RNAcentral describes it as "partial 16S ribosomal RNA". It matches the Rfam family "Bacterial small subunit ribosomal RNA", at positions 527 to 896 of the family's 1533-position model. The record is from RNAcentral.